RNAcentral lists this ribosomal RNA (207 nucleotides) under uncultured bacterium. RNAcentral's name for it is "partial 16S ribosomal RNA". It matches the Rfam family "Bacterial small subunit ribosomal RNA", at positions 568 to 774 of the family's 1533-position model. The record is from RNAcentral.
UCCGCAGGCGGGCGAUUAAGUCAGGGGUGAAAUGGUGCGGCUCAACCGUAGCACUGCCCUUGAUACUGGUUGUCUUGAGUCAUAGUGGAGUGGCUGGAAUAUGUAGUGUAGCGGUGAAAUGCAUAGAUAUUACAUAGAACACCAAUCGCGAAGGCAGGUCACUAACUAUCGACUGACGCUGAUGGACGAAAGCGUGGGGAGCGAACG